This 535-nucleotide long non-coding RNA is filed under the name Citrus sinensis (sweet orange). Its description in RNAcentral is "long non-coding RNA (CSIN_LNC005532)". Lineage: Eukaryota; Viridiplantae; Streptophyta; Magnoliopsida; Sapindales; Rutaceae. The record is from RNAcentral.
AAGGCCAUAGAUCUUCGGAUCUAUCAUCUCUGUGUGUUUGAUCAAAUCCCCUCGAUGUUGCAUGCAAAUUGCAAGGACUUUAAUUUCACGUUUAUUUUUUCAGUAUUAAUUUCGUAGCCUUUUGAAGGUUACAGUAAUACAGCUCCUCCCCAGUUCCCAUACAUGAUGCAUGGAGCGGGAAACAAGACGAGAAUAGUUUUACGUAAACAACAAACCUCCAUAAUAAUACAAGCUAUAAGCUGAAAAGAGUUGAAAUAACGAGCCUGUCUUUUGCCUAAAUCAUACAAAGAGAGAGAAUAUAUAGUUUAAUAAUUAACUCAUGCAAAUUAAAUUAUCACUAAACACAGUACUAGAUCAAUUAGCAAGUAUAAUAUAGCCUUGUUCUUGAUCGAGCUUUAAUUAAUUAGUCGCCACCUCCUCCACCAGCUCCAAGCCCGGCACCGCCAACGAAGCCAGCACCACCACCGGCACCAAAACCACCACCACCGCCUCCGCCGAAACCACCACCAGCUCCUCCACCACCCACACCGCCACC